AACUUUUAAAAUUUUAAUCAAAUGAAAAUAAAUAUUUUACUUCUUCUCAGGUAUAAGUUCUGCAUUGCGCAAGAAAGUUAAAAGCUUGAUUUUCACUAUUUUAACUACAGGUUGUCCUUAUUUAAACUGUUUUUUUUUUCAAAACAAAAACCUGAAAAUAGUAUUGAACUAAAGCUCACGAAAAUGGACUUGAGUGUUGGCAUUAACAAUAGUCCUGAAAAAAUGGUUGCUCCAUCUAUAACUCAAGAAAGUAGAGUUCUGCUGUUACACCUACUAUUACUGUUGUAAGUACUCAAAAUUUCAGGAAGUUCUGUUGCUGUAAGUUAUUU
Hydra vulgaris (swiftwater hydra) is the source of this 329-nucleotide non-coding RNA. NCBI's taxonomy places the organism in Eukaryota, Metazoa, Cnidaria, Hydrozoa, Anthoathecata, Hydridae. The record is from RefSeq and is a predicted model, not a curated record.